UGACGGGUAGCCGGCCUGAGAGGGUGACCGGCCACAUUGGGACUGAGAUACGGCCCAGACUCCUACGGGAGGCAGCAGUGGGGAAUUUUCCGCAAUGGGCGAAAGCCUGACGGAGCAAUCUCGCGUGAGGGAUGACUGCCUAUGGGUUGUAAACCUCUUUUUUCAGGGAGGAAUAAAUGACGUGUACCUGAAGAAUAAGCAUCGGCUAACUCCGUGCCAGCAGCCGCGGUAAUACGGAGGGUGCGAGCGUUAAUCGGAAUUACUGGGCGUAAAGCGCGCGUAGGCGGUUUUUUAAGUCUGAUGUGAAAGCCCACGGCUCAACCGUGGAGGGUCAUUGGAAACUGGAAAACUUGAGUGCAGAAGAGGAAAGUGGAAUUCCAUGUGUAGCGGUGAAAUGCGCAGAGAUAUGGAGGAACACCAGUGGCGAAGGCGACUUUCUGGUCUGUAACUGACGCUGAUGUGCGAAAGCGUGGGGAUCAAACAGGAUUAGAUACCCCGG
RNAcentral lists this ribosomal RNA (499 nucleotides) under Pseudo-nitzschia fraudulenta. RNAcentral describes it as "partial Bacterial small subunit ribosomal RNA". It matches the Rfam family "Bacterial small subunit ribosomal RNA", at positions 277 to 790 of the family's 1533-position model. The record is from RNAcentral. Lineage: Eukaryota; Bacillariophyta; Bacillariophyceae; Bacillariales; Bacillariaceae.